RNAcentral lists this transfer RNA (86 nucleotides) under Erysipelotrichaceae bacterium. RNAcentral describes it as "tRNA-Leu". It matches the Rfam family "tRNA". Rfam says of the family: Transfer RNA (tRNA) molecules are approximately 80 nucleotides in length. Lineage: Bacteria; Bacillati; Bacillota; Erysipelotrichia; Erysipelotrichales; Erysipelotrichaceae. RNAcentral also lists the same sequence under 1 other name. The record is from RNAcentral.
GGGGCCGUGGUGGAAUGGUAGACACGCAACUUUGAGGGGGUUGUGAGCGUAUGCUCGUGUGCGUUCAAAUCGCAUCGGCCUCACCA